Molecule: ribosomal RNA, 301 nt
Filed under: uncultured bacterium
Lineage: Bacteria
Description: partial 16S ribosomal RNA
Rfam family: Bacterial small subunit ribosomal RNA
Source: RNAcentral
CAGUCGCCGCGGUAAUACGUAGGUGGCAAGCGUUGUCCGGAAUUAUUGGGCGUAAAGGGCUCGCAGGCGGUUUCUUAAGUCUGAUGUGAAAGCCCCCGGCUCAACCGGGGAGGGUCAUUGGAAACUGGGAAACUUUAGUGCAGAAGAGGAGAGUGGAAUUCCACGUGUAGCGGUGAAAUGCGUAGAGAUGUGGAGGAACACCAGUGGCGAAGGCGACUCUCUGGUCUGUAACUGACGCUGAGGAGCGAAAGCGUGGGGAGCGAACAGGAUUAGAUACCCGUGUAGUCCCUGUCUCUUAUAC